CAGCAGCCGCGGGAAUACGAAGGGUGCAAGCGUUAAUCGGAAUUACUGGGCGUAAAGCGCACGCAGGCGGUUUGUUAAGUCAGAUGUGAAAUCCCCGAGCUUAACUUGGGAACUGCAUUUGAAACUGGCAAGCUAGAGUCUUGUAGAGGGGGGUAGAAUUCCAGGUGUAGCGGUGAAAUGCGUAGAAAUCUGGAGGGAUACCGGUGGCGAAGGCGGCCCCCUGGACAAAGACUGACGCUCAGGUGCGAAAGCGUGUGGAGCAAACAGGAUUAGAUACCCCUGUAGUCCCUGUCUCUUAUAC
Molecule: ribosomal RNA, 301 nt
Filed under: uncultured bacterium
Lineage: Bacteria
Description: partial 16S ribosomal RNA
Rfam family: Bacterial small subunit ribosomal RNA
Source: RNAcentral